Molecule: ribosomal RNA, 479 nt
Filed under: uncultured bacterium
Lineage: Bacteria
Description: bacterial SSU rRNA
Rfam family: Bacterial small subunit ribosomal RNA
Source: RNAcentral
CCCUUAGAGUUUGAUCCUGGCUCAGGAUGAACGCUAGCUACAGGCUUAACACAUGCAAGUCGAGGGGCAGCAUGGUCUUAGCUUGCUAAGGCUGAUGGCGACCGGCGCACGGGUGAGUAACACGUAUCCAACCUGCCGUCUACUCUUGGCCAGCCUUCUGAAAGGAAGAUUAAUCCAGGAUGGGAUCAUGAGUUCACAUGUCCGCAUGAUUAAAGGUAUUUUCCGGUAGACGAUGGGGAUGCGUUCCAUUAGAUAGUAGGCGGGGUAACGGCCCACCUAGUCAACGAUGGAUAGGGGUUCUGAGAGGAAGGUCCCCCACAUUGGAACUGAGACACGGUCCAAACUCCUACGGGAGGCAGCAGUGAGGAAUAUUGGUCAAUGGGCGAUGGCCUGAACCAGCCAAGUAGCGUGAAGGAUGACUGCCCUAUGGGUUGUAAACUUCUUUUAUAAAGGAAUAAAGUCGGGUAUGCAUACCCGUU